AACCCAAACUUUAUCCCAUCUAUAGGAAAUGCAGGGAUGGGGAAUGGAGCAGAGACCGAGGGAGUGAGUGGCUAACCAAUAACUGGCCCAAUUUGAGACCCAUCUCAUGUGGAAGCACCAGUACCUGGCACCAUAAUGAUACUCUGUUACGUUUGCAAACAGGCGUCUAGUAUGGCUUUCCUCUGAGAGAGCCUACUCAAUAGCUGACUCAGAAGGAAGCAGAGACCCACAGCCAGACAAUGGAUGGAGCUUGGAGACUCUUAAGGAAGAGUUGAGGGAAGGAUUGCAGGCCCCAAAGGAGAUAAGGAACUCCACAAAAAGACCAACAGAGUCAACUAAGCUGAAUCCUUGGGGCUCUCAGAGACCAACAACCAAAGAACUGGGUAUUCCCCAGCCCCAGCACAUAUGUAGUAGAUUUGCUGCUUGGUCUUCAAGAAAGUCAUCCUUCAAAGAAACAAAAACCUAACGAAGCCAAACCAAUCAAUGAAACAGACAAGUCCAGGGUAUCAGCUAUACCACCCCUGGGAAUAUAUUCAAAGGACAUUAAGUUCAUUCACUGCUGCUGUGUUCACAAUAUCUAGGAUACGGAAUCAGCUUAGAUGUUCAUCAAGUAAUGAACGGACAAUGAAAAUGUAAUCCAUAUACAUAAUAGAAUUCUAUUCAUCUUUAAAACAUAAAAUUAUGAAAAUUUCAGAAAAUAGAUAUGAAACUGAGACACAUACUAAGAUUUCCUUGUGUAAGUUGGAAGGAGGAAAUAAUUGGGCAGGAAACAAUGAAGAAGUCAUGAUGAUUAAUGCAAAGGCUCACAAGUGGUCAAAGUGAGGAGAGCAAUUGUAUGUGAAGUGUACAGCCACAAAUGGAGUAUCUAUAUCACAUCCUCUCAUCUUAAAUAAAUAUAAAAAAAAAACUAGGAAAAGGAAGUGAAAAGACUAUAAGAGCUAGAAGUCUGAAUAGAUUAAGACAGUGUCUUUUGGAUGCGCUAGGACCACUGCAUUCAAGAACUCAUAGCAUCUCAUAGCAUCUGUAGUUUCCAAGACAGACCUGCACAUGGUCAAGCCAGUCAAUGCUCUAACACAGUGAUCUCAUUGGUAUCUGGUCAAGAUUAAGAGAAUGUUUAAUAUGCAAGAAUGGUCAGAAGUCAUGAAGCUUAUUGUUCUAAGCCAUAACAUUGAGACACAGAGAAGAACUACAAGGUCUGUCAAAAGUCAAUUUGUGGGAAAGGAGGAAGGAUUUACACAACCUUAUCUCUAGAUGAGAAUAUUGAUAGCAGAAGGCCUGCGAAGCAUAGGGAUUCUCUUUUCUUUAAGAUACGAGCCCUGGUAACUCAACCAUGCUCCAGUGGAUGACUCUACGUCCAUGAAUUAUAGGCAGUAAAAUUGGAAAUCGGUAUACUAUGACAAAGGGAGGGCAGGAAGUUGGGAGAGAUUGGGACUUCUCUGAGGACAGAGGAGGAAAUGCAAUGAAGGAGUAAGUGCGAUUAAGAUGUACUACAUAGAUGUGAGGAAAGUAUCAAAAAUAAUAAAA
Mastomys coucha (southern multimammate mouse) is the source of this 1524-nucleotide long non-coding RNA. RefSeq lists it as uncharacterized. The transcript is spliced from 2 exons. NCBI's taxonomy places the organism in Eukaryota, Metazoa, Chordata, Mammalia, Rodentia, Muridae. The record is from RefSeq and is a predicted model, not a curated record.